RNAcentral lists this ribosomal RNA (438 nucleotides) under uncultured bacterium. RNAcentral describes it as "bacterial SSU rRNA". It matches the Rfam family "Bacterial small subunit ribosomal RNA", at positions 29 to 507 of the family's 1533-position model. The record is from RNAcentral.
AACGAACGCUGGCGGCAUGCCUAACACAUGCAAGUCGAACGAGACCUUCGGGUCUAGUGGCGCACGGGUGCGUAACGCGUGGGAACCUGCCUUUAGGUUCGGAAUAACUCAGAGAAAUUUGAGCUAAUACCGGAUGAUGUCUUCGGACCAAAGAUUUAUCGCCUUUAGAUGGGCCCGCGUUGGAUUAGCUAGUUGGUGGGGUAAAGGCCUACCAAGGCGACGAUCCAUAGCCGGCCUGAGAGGGCGACCGGCCACACUGGGACUGAGACACGGCCCAGACUCCUACGGGAGGCAGCAGUGGGGAAUAUUGGGCAAUGGAGGAAACUCUGACCCAGCGACGCCGCGUGCGGGAUGAAGGCCUUCGGGUUGUAAACCGCUUUCAGCAGGGAAGAAGCGAAAGUGACGGUACCUGCAGAAGAAGCACCGGCUAACUAUGUG